RNAcentral lists this ribosomal RNA (798 nucleotides) under uncultured Porphyromonadaceae bacterium. RNAcentral describes it as "bacterial SSU rRNA". It matches the Rfam family "Bacterial small subunit ribosomal RNA", at positions 8 to 795 of the family's 1533-position model. The record is from RNAcentral. Lineage: Bacteria; Pseudomonadati; Bacteroidota; Bacteroidia; Bacteroidales; Porphyromonadaceae.
AGAGUUUGAUUCUGGCUCAGGAUGAACGCUGGCGAUAGGCCUAACACAUGCAAGUCGAGGGGCAGCACAUGAAGUAGCAAUACGGAUGGUGGCGACCGGCGCACGGGUGAGUAACGCGUAUGCAACCUGCCUACAACAGGGGAAUAACCCGUUGAAAGACGGACUAAUACCCCAUAACACAGGGAUCCCGCAUGGGAAUAUUUGUUAAAGAUUUAUCGGUUGUAGAUGGGCAUGCGUUCCAUUAGCUUGUUGGUGAGGUAACGGCUCACCAAGGCAACGAUGGAUAGGGGAACUGAGAGGUUUAUCCCCCACACUGGUACUGAGACACGGACCAGACUCCUACGGGAGGCAGCAGUGAGGAAUAUUGGUCAAUGGACGCAAGUCUGAACCAGCCACGUCGCGUGAAGGAAGACGGCCCUACGGGUUGUAAACUUCUUUUGUAAGGGGAUAAAGUGUAGUACGUGUACUAUUUUGCAUGUACCUUACGAAUAAGGAUCGGCUAACUCCGUGCCAGCAGCCGCGGUAAUACGGAGGAUCCGAGCGUUAUCCGGAUUUAUUGGGUUUAAAGGGUGCGCAGGCGGGAGAUUAAGUCGGCGGUGAAAUUUUGCAGCUCAACUGUAAAAGUGCCUUCGAAACUGGUUUCCUUGAGUGUGGAUGAAGUAGGCGGAAUUUGUGGUGUAGCGGUGAAAUGCAUAGAUAUCACGAAGAACUCCGAUUGCGCAGGCAGCUUACUAAACCAUAACUGACGCUCAGGCACGAAGGCGUGGGGAUCAAACAGGAUUAGAUACCCUGGUAGUC